Non-coding RNA from Anas platyrhynchos (mallard), 2512 nucleotides. Lineage: Eukaryota; Metazoa; Chordata; Aves; Anseriformes; Anatidae. The record is from RefSeq and is a predicted model, not a curated record.
CGGGGCCGGGGCGCUGCCCCGCCGCCAUGUUGGCUGCCCCCCCGGGCAGGGUUACUGGGCACUAAUUUAACCCCUCAGCUAUAGGAUAAAAGCCCAAAGGUUUAUAAAAGCACAAAGUACAAAGCUAAGGGGCUCAAGGUGCUCUGUGGGGUCUGGGGUGAUCCGGGCAGGCGGUCUAUGAGGUCUUUCAGGUCCCUCAGAGCCCCCCGGUGUUGUGCUCCGUGAGGGGCGCACCCCCCCUGACGGGAUCGUGAGGUAAAAUUAAGGCUAUCUAUCGGAAUGUAAAGGAAUCGUGAGGAAAUAAUUAAAGGUUAUACACCAGAAAGUGAGAUUCACUGGAAGAACAUGCCGAUAUUCCUUCAGGAAGGGAGGCGGCGCCUGCACCUCAGCACGCUGGGUGCCAACGGCGCCUGGUGCUGCAGGCACACGGUGCCCCGGGGCUGGCAGAGCCCAGCCGAGCCUUAACCGAGCAGUAACCGAGCCGUGCCGAGCCGUGCCAGGCCGCCCGAAGGCUGCAGGGGGCGCCGGCAGCUCGCUGAGGCGAGGCGGGGAGGCUCCGUGGCCGGGCAGCACCGGGCGGCGCCUCCCCCUCCGCCUGCAGGUCGCUAACUGCACCGAAACUCGGGGUUUCAGUCAGAAAAUCGGCCUUGGAUGCUUUCUCUGUUUCCUGAAGCAGCGCAGUGUUGUCUCUGUCAGCGGGACGCUGCACCUGAGGGCUGCCCGGCUUCCAGAGGUGAAGGAUUUCAGGGGAAGGACCACCAGUGCCCAGCCCCUCGGCUUCCAGCAGCUGUGCACAGAACAGAAGCGUCUGCGGAGCCCCUGCUCCAGGUGACAGCACAACCAAAGCCACGGGACGCUUCCCCAUGGCUCCUAAUCAACUUAAGUUCCUCGGAGUCGCGCAGACAGAGAAACCGAUUAAGCAGAGAAAUGCUGAAAAUAAUUCUGCUAAAGCAUUUCAAGAUGUCCACGCGAAGGUUCUCUCCCCCUCAGCCCUUCUGAUUUUCCUGGUAGGUGAGGCUUGUGCCGAGGGAGGCUGGAGAGCAGCACACUCUCGAGUGCUCGCCUUCUGCAUUCCUACUGCUUUCUGCUCAGCAGCUGAGCAGACCUCGUGUCCCUCGUGCCCUUGCAUGCGAGGAGCCUCUGCUUGAAACAAGCAUGGAAAAGCCUGAGCGCUUUUACGAGUGACUUCUCCUUUAUGCGCUGCCUGAUGCCACUUAGAUGCAACAUGCCCUCCCUGCUUAAAGACUUUGAUCCAUUACUGUUAAACUUUUUUUGGCUUUUGUUACGCAGCUUAAGCAUUCAAGUUGCCUCAUGCAGGCACUUAGGCGCUUUUUCAUGCGUGGUUAUUGCAGUACACUUGGAAUCGAGCUGCUAUUAACGGAAAUAGAUUAUUUUUUUCCAAGGAGAAGUUGUAUUUCCUUGUACCUGCUGUUUCACGGCGCUGUUUGCCUUUCAGCUGCCUCCCCUGACGAGCCCCAAAGGCCAAAGGGCUUGCGCUCGGCAUGCUGGGGCUCCUCGAGCUGCACCCCUUCACAUCGCACAAAUCCCAGAGGGUUUCACCCCGAGGAAUCCUGCUGGGGCUGCUUGGUGCUUUCCAGAGCUGCGACUGCAAGCGCAGAGCUCGCUGCUGGGCACCAAGGCUGCGCGUUGUGUGGGGUGCUCGUCCCAGCUCAAGGCUGAGCAUCUGGCCACACUCACCGUGCCCUGAAGCAUGUAAUUAGCAGGGCAGCACAGAGCACACAAACGAACAUUUUUAAUUAUCCCUGAGCUCCUGCGCCCGCCUGAACGGAUGCGGAAUGGGAGAGGAAACAGCAGCCGGCCCUGCAGCCGCUGUGUCAGGCGGACGCGGUCACACGUUGAAUGUACGCUUAGCCAUCAGCUGAUGGCACAGCACACAACGCAGCCGGAGGGUACUGCCAGUCCCGUUCCCCUUCCUCAGCAAAAAAAUAAACCAAAAGAGUUCAUGAGACAGGGACUGGGACAAAUGAGCAAGCCCAACAAAAUGAGCCCCCAUGCAGCGAGCAGCACAGGUUGCUCAUUCCAGCUGUGCAUUUUCCAGGAUUUACCCCAAGCUGCAGGUUCUCUGGUGCUGGAGGAGAGGGAAUUGGCUUUUUUUUCCAUUGUGGAGGAGGCUCCAGGAGGGCGCGGGUCCCAGCGGGUCCCACAGCCCGGGGGCACCCCACGACCACCGGAGCCCCCCGUGUGCUGCCGAGGGAGGCGAGCUGGGCUCGGGGAGCCGCAGCAAUGUCACCGACCGCCUCCUACAUCUGGUACGUCUCAGGAUAAUUUAUUUUAACCUCCGAAGAUACAAGGGAAAAUAUUUGAAGGGGAUGGAGCCGUGCCAGUAUUUCCAGUUCAUUAUAAGCAAAGAGCUGUUGCUUAUAGCACUUUUUUGGAGCGGAGAGCAGUCUGGUUUUAAAUCCCUUAAGCAAUGAGGCAUCGUGUACAAGCCAAUGUAAAUUCUUCCUCGCUAAAGAAUUCGCUAAUUAAAAAACUUUAAUUUUUAAAUCCA